CUUUGCUUAUGUUGUUCUCACUGCCUGAAAUGUUCCCUUCCACUCCAUCACCAAUACCACAAUUCCCCCAUCACCAGCAUCUCUUUCUCUCUGUUGUUACUCACACUUUAGCCCUUACUCCCAGCCAGUCAUUAAACUUCACAUUCAGUAAGAGCUCACAUGUGUCAAGCCUCCUGUUGAGUACUUUGUAUCCAUAAUUCGAUGUAAUCCUCACAAUAAUCCUACAAAUAGGUACUAUUAUUAUUAUUUUUUU
Molecule: long non-coding RNA, 253 nt
Filed under: Homo sapiens (human)
Lineage: Eukaryota; Metazoa; Chordata; Mammalia; Primates; Hominidae
Description: HSALNT0337896
Source: RNAcentral